Molecule: ribosomal RNA, 269 nt
Filed under: uncultured archaeon
Lineage: Archaea
Description: partial 16S ribosomal RNA
Rfam family: Archaeal small subunit ribosomal RNA
Source: RNAcentral
CUGCAGCCCGAGUGGUGAUCGAUUUUAUUGAGCCUAAAGCGUCCGUAGCCGGACUAGUAAACCCUUGGGUAAAUUGGGCAGCUUAACUGUCCGAAUUCCGAGGGGACUGCUAGUCUUGGGACCGGGAGAGGUCAGAGGUACUCCAGGGGUAGGGGCUAAAUCCUGUAAUCCUUUGGGGACCACCAGUGGCGAAGGCGUCUGACUAGAACGGAUCCGACGGUAAGGGACGAAACCCUGGGGCGCGAACCGGAUUAGAGACCCGAGUAGUC